AAAACGACUCUCGGCAACGGAUAUCUCGGCUCUCGCAUCGAUGAAGAACGUAGCGAAAUGCGAUACUUGGUGUGAAUUGCAGAAUCCCGUGAACCAUCGAGUCUUUGAACGCAAGUUGCGCCCGAAGCCAUUAGGUCGAGGGCACGCCUGCCUGGGCGUCGCAC
This 164-nucleotide ribosomal RNA is filed under the name Thinicola incana. Its description in RNAcentral is "5.8S ribosomal RNA". It matches the Rfam family "5.8S ribosomal RNA". From Rfam's summary of the family: 5.8S ribosomal RNA (5.8S rRNA) is a component of the large subunit of the eukaryotic ribosome. It is transcribed by RNA polymerase I as part of the 45S precursor that also contains 18S and 28S rRNA. The record is from RNAcentral. Lineage: Eukaryota; Viridiplantae; Streptophyta; Magnoliopsida; Fabales; Fabaceae.